AAACCACCUGCUAUUUCAUUCAAACUGUGUUUCUUUUUUAUUUCCUCAUUUUUCUCCCCUGCUCCUAAAACCCAAAAUCUUCUAAAGAAUUCUAGAAGGUAUGCGAUCAAACUUUUUAAAGAAAGAAAAUACUUUUUGACUCAUGGUUUAAAGGCAUCCUUUCCAUCUUGGGGAGGUCAUGGGUGCUCCUGGCAACUUGCUUGAGGAAGAUAGGUCAGAAAGCAGAGUGGACCAACCGUUCAAUGUUUUACAAGCAAAACAUACACUAAGCAUGGUCUGUAGCUAUUAAAAGCACACAAUCUGAAGGGCUGUAGAUGCACAGUAGUGUUUUCCCAGAGCAUGUUCAAAAGCCCUGGGUUCAAUCACAAUACUGAAAAGUAGGCCAAAAAACAUUCUGAAAAUGAAAUAUUUGGGUUUUUUUUUAUAACCUUUAGUGACUAAAUAAAGACAAAUCUAAGAG
RNAcentral lists this long non-coding RNA (460 nucleotides) under Mus musculus (house mouse). RNAcentral's name for it is "long non-coding RNA chr18:20673861-20674321". The record is from RNAcentral. Lineage: Eukaryota; Metazoa; Chordata; Mammalia; Rodentia; Muridae.